AUAAAAUAAUUAUGUUUUUAGAAAUUUAUUGUUAAUUUAUUUUACAUAUAAAUUUUAGUAUAUAAUUUUAAUUAUUUUAAUAAUAAUUAAUUUAAUUUUAGUAGUAAUUAAUAUUAAAAAUUUAAGAAAUUAAGAUUUAGUAAUAUAAAAAUUAAUAACUAAUUUUGUGCCAGCAGUUGCGGUUAAACAAAAGUUAAAUUAAAUUAUUUCAGUAUAUAAUAAAUAAUUAAAUAUUAUUAAAUUAAAUAUUAAAUUAUUAAGUGAAAUUUUAAUUUAAUUAAAUUUUAUUUUAAAAUUAUGAUUUAAUAAAUUUUAAUAUAAACUAGGAUUAGAUACCCUAUUAUUAAAAAUUUAAUUUAUAAUACUAAAAUAGUAAAUAAUAAUUUAUUGAAACUUAAAUAACAUGGCGGUAUUUUAGUUCAUUUAGAGGAAUCUGUCUAAUAAUUGAUAAUCCACGAAUAAAUUUACUUAAUUUAUAAUUUUGUAUAUCAUUGUUAAAAAAAUAUUUUUUAGGGAAAAUAAUAUUUAAAAAUUAAAAUUAGAAAUUAAAUCAGAUCAAGAUGCAGAAUAUAAUUAAGAAUAUGAUGGAUUACAUUAAAAAUAUUUAAAUGGAUAAUUUUAUUGUAAAAUAAAUUUGAAGGUGGAUUUAAAUGUAAUUUUAAUUAAUUUAUUAAAAUGAUUAAAAAUUAAAAUAUGUACAUAUUGCCCGUCACUUUCAUUUAAAAAUUGAAAUAAGUCGUAACAAAGUAGAGGUACUGGAAAGUGUUUCUAGAAAGA
This 777-nucleotide non-coding RNA is filed under the name Junonia sophia. The record is from RNAcentral. Lineage: Eukaryota; Metazoa; Arthropoda; Insecta; Lepidoptera; Nymphalidae.